Molecule: ribosomal RNA, 119 nt
Filed under: Pteropus alecto (black flying fox)
Lineage: Eukaryota; Metazoa; Chordata; Mammalia; Chiroptera; Pteropodidae
Source: RNAcentral
AUCUAUGGCCAUGCUACCCUGAACAAGCUGGAUCCCGUCUGAUCUCGGAAGCUAAGCAGGGUGGGGCCUGGUUAGCACUUGGAUGGGAGACCACCUAGGAAGACCAGGUGCUGUAGGCG